AUGAAUGAAGGACAGGGACUCAAGGUAAAUUCUCAGUCAAUAAAGCGUGUCGAGUCCAGGGGAGGCCGUCAGCCUCACUCGGAGCUGCCCCUCGUGCAUCCUCCUCACUCCUUGCUUGCCCCACCUCAGCUGUCUCUGCUCUUUCCCCCUGUCCUGCCUCUGCCUCCCUCACAGGCCUGGCACAGGCAUGUCCAUCAGCACCUAUGACCGCUGCUUGUCCCUGUUCGUUCACCGACAGAGCAGACACUUACCCAGUGCCGUGGUAUUCAGUCCCCGCUUUUUGUUCAACUCUCACUCCCUGCUCCCAGCUGCCCUGGCCUCCUGGCAGUGUCUGCCCCCCGCAUUUAUCCCCACUGUUCCCUCUUCUGCAAUAUCCUGACCCCAGAUGUCUGCUGUGCUGAGUCCUUUCCCCCUUCAAGUCUUUGUUAAAAUAUCAGCUCCUCAAUGAAGCCCGCCCUGGUUGCUCUGUUCAAUACUGUGACUUGCAGCUUUCCCCCUUGCUGCCCACAGUACCAGUCCCUUACAGGACUUACAUGUAUCUGAUCACAGCACCACCCCCUUCUAACACACUCUAGAAUGUCCUGGGUUGUUAUGAGGUAGGGUGCCUCCUACCCCUACCCCUUCCCCUUUGGGGACAGUAAGUCCAGCACAGGGAUUUCUGUGGGCUGGCCACUUGUAUCCACCACAGAGAGCCAGGAAAAGCCUCAAUGCAUAUGUGCUGCCUGAAGCAAUGUGCCUGCCUCCCUGAUAGACUGUGAGACCCCUGAGGGUCCUGUUCUUCUUGUCCUUGGGGCAGGCCCUCCCUCCACGCAGGGAGAAGGCCUCAAGGUGUGGCUGCCUCAGUUUCAGCCACACCUCCAGCCCAGCAGCUCCGUGACCUGGGACUCAGGAGUCACCUGGCUUCACUUCAAAAUGUAAACGCCUGUCUUUAAAGGAAUGUAGAUAUUUUCAAUGUUUAGACUUUACUUUCGGCCUCAAGUUUUUUGGUACCCACAUUGAGUACGAAUUGUUGUAGCCUCUGAAAUAUGAGUUCACAAUUUUUGAUGAAUUUGGUUGUGCCAAUGUGAAACAACGUGAAACAUACUGGAGUGUGACAUCAAGUGGGCCUUAGGAAGCAUUACUAGGAACAAAGCUGGUGGAGUUGACGGAAUCCUGGCUAUUUCAAAUGCUAAUGGGAUGAUGCUGUUAAAGUGCUGCACUCAGUAUGCAAGCAAAUUUGGAAAACUCCUCAGUGGCCACAGGACUGGAAAGGUCAGUUUUUAUUCCAAUCCCAAAGAAGGGUGAUGCACUGGACACCCAACACCAAACAAUCCACCAAACUGAAACACUAGAGACUCAAUAAAUGAGGCAAGACACAAGAAAUCA
RNAcentral lists this long non-coding RNA (1365 nucleotides) under Bos indicus x Bos taurus (hybrid cattle). RNAcentral's name for it is "lncRNA (ENSBIXG00000028807.1)". Lineage: Eukaryota; Metazoa; Chordata; Mammalia; Artiodactyla; Bovidae. The record is from RNAcentral.